Long non-coding RNA from Rhipicephalus microplus (southern cattle tick), 960 nucleotides. NCBI's taxonomy places the organism in Eukaryota, Metazoa, Arthropoda, Arachnida, Ixodida, Ixodidae. The record is from RefSeq and is a predicted model, not a curated record.
CGACGCUGCCGUAGAGCCGCGGUGAUUGGGAUAUUUGUUUCACGUGACCUCCCCUCACCAUAUCCCUUCCAAGCACUUUGGGCGCUCCCGCGCAGAGACGUUUCUUUCGCUGUUGAACGAGCAUUGCGGACGGAUUUCAACGUGCCAGCUACGUAUUUUGGACGGAUUAUCAGCAAGCGUACGUGCCAGAACCAUGACUGGCUGCUGCGCCUUCGGGUGCAGCAACCGAAUGGAGUCUGGGAAGGCAUUUUUUUGCAUUCUGAGCUGAAAAAAAAAACGACCAGCAACGACAUUCGGCAUGGCUGCACAGAAUCGGCCGCAAGAGCUUCGCGUCUUCGAAGAACACCAGCUUGUGCGAGGUAGGGACUACAGUGUGCGGAGCACGCGGACUUGACAGCGUUGACAGGCUGACACGGUCCCGCUUGAUCACAGGUUGGAUCAUGACAUUGUCUCACGUGCAGGCCUUCGUUGCCAACCAAUCACCUCGCAUCAUGACUUGCUCCACGGUCGUCACAGCCAACAUCCUGCGAUUGCUGUUUGCCGACAUAGUCAACAGUUUACCCCUUUUGGACGCACCCUCACCUGGUGAACUUGUUCACUGAAGUUGAACCACAUUGGGAAAGUCUCGAGUAAAAACUGGCAACUUCAAUAUGCUGCUCAAUUUGCAUAUGAGAACUCCAUUGGGCAUGUAAACUGUUGUGGCAGUAUGGCGCUUAGUUGCUUCUCCAAUCGUGAUGCAGGUUUGUGCUCAUUUGUCAUUCUACACUAAAAGAUUGCAUUCCCUGUGCAUGCUGCUGUUCAUGUGCCCACAAGUAUGAUUAAUAUUGUAUCUGAAUCCUCUGUUGACAUUUAUUGUGCUAUAUUCUUGUGAGAUAGAGGCUACCCGGUCAUAAUACUCAUUAUGAAUACCUUCAAAAAAUCAACUUCCUCCUUAAUGAUUUCUGCGAUGUCACUUUUCAA